Molecule: ribosomal RNA, 190 nt
Filed under: uncultured rumen bacterium
Lineage: Bacteria
Description: partial 16S ribosomal RNA
Rfam family: Bacterial small subunit ribosomal RNA
Source: RNAcentral
CCUACGGGAGGCAGCAGUGAGGAAUAUUGGUCAAUGGGCGCGAGCCUGAACCAGCCAAGUAGCGUGCAGGAAGACGGCCCUAUGGGUUGUAAACUGCUUUUGUGCGGGAAUAAAGUCAGGGACGUGUCCCUGUUUGCAUGUACCGCAAGAAUAAGGACCGGCUAAUUCCGUGCCAGCAGCCGCGGUAAUA